Molecule: ribosomal RNA, 591 nt
Filed under: uncultured bacterium
Lineage: Bacteria
Description: partial 16S ribosomal RNA
Rfam family: Bacterial small subunit ribosomal RNA
Source: RNAcentral
UAAGGAAUAUUGGUCAAUGGACGCAAGUCUGAACCAGCCAUGCCGCGUGAAGGAUGAAGGUCCUCUGGAUUGUAAACUUCUUUUAUAGGGGGCGAAAAAAGGGAAAUCUUUCUCACUUGACAGUACCCUAUGAAUAAGCACCGGCUAACUCCGUGCCAGCAGCCGCGGUAAUACGGAGGGUGCAAGCGUUAUCCGGAUUCACUGGGUUUAAAGGGUGCGUAGGCGGGCGUAUAAGUCAGUGGUGAAAUCCUGGAGCUUAACUCCAGAACUGCCAUUGAUACUAUAUGUCUUGAAUAUGGUGGAGGUAAGCGGAAAUAUGUCAUGUAGCGGUGAAAUGCAUAGAUAUGACAUAGAACACCUAUUGCGAAGGCAGCUUACUACGCCUAUAUUGACGCUGAGGCACGAAAAGCGUGGGGAUCAAAACAGGAUUUAGAUACCCUGGUAGCCCCACGCCCUAAAACGAUGAUUACUCGACGUGUGCGAUAAACGGUACGCGUCUGAGCGAAAAGCAUUAAGUAAUCCACCUGGGGAAAGUACGACCGCAAGGUUGAAAACUUAAAUGAAAUUGACGGGGGUCAUAGCUGUUUCCUG